This 1903-nucleotide unclassified non-coding RNA is filed under the name Hevea brasiliensis (rubber tree). Lineage: Eukaryota; Viridiplantae; Streptophyta; Magnoliopsida; Malpighiales; Euphorbiaceae. The record is from RNAcentral.
GGUCUUGAUACUCCAUGGUUUAUGGUAAAAUAAGCUAUGUGCUUUUUGUGUUUUAAUGUUUAAUAUGAAGUUAGCUAUAGGUUCAAUUUAUGUGUAUCUUUAAGCUUGAUUAAUGUAAGUUUUGCUAAAGCAAUUUUCAAGAGUCUUAUGGUAUUUCUAAUUUAUUGGUAUGUUUUCAUUAAUUGCAUUUGUAGAAAGUAGUUUGAAUUAUCAGUUUCUGUGAUGUACAUUAUGCUAGUAUUGUCAGUAAAGUAGAUUCAAUAGGAAGUAAAAUAAGGGCAUUUAAUAUUUGGAAACUGGCAAUAUGGUGGAUUGCAGCUCAUUGUUUUGAACCUAUCAGUGAUUGAAAACAAAAAUUAUAUACUGGAAAAUUGAACUGGUGUAGAUAUACUAUGGAAUAUAGAAUAAUUAGAUUUAUAGAAAAAAUUGAAAGAGGAAAAUGGUUAUACGAGGGACUUUUGUAAUGUGGAGAAGGUCUUUGCUACUUUUGCAUGCUCAUGCUGAACUUCAAAAGUUUCUGCUAAGAAUAAUACUUAGAAUACUUAAAGCUAGUGGAAUUUGCUUUAUUAUGCUAUUUAAAGCUAGUGCAGUUUUCUUAAUCAUGCUGUUUAUUUUAAUACAAUAUUGUUUGAUGAAAGAAGUAAUCAGGUUGUUCAACUUCACUGGUGGCAUUUUCUUAGAUAGUUAUAUGGUUUGCAUACCAAUAAGAAUAGUAUUUUGGGACAUGAAGUUGCUUGUGAAUUCUCAGCAGCACUUCACAUCAAAAUAUACUGCUUCAAAUUUCUUUGGUGAAUUCAGAUUCAUUUUAUGCUUGAGAUCUCUUACCUUAUUGAAUGAUGGCUAGCAAAUUGAUUCAUUUUGUUAAGAUAAUUAUGUACUUGAAAGUGUGCUCUUUUUUUUAGCUAUUUCUUUGUCUAAUUCCUUUUUUAUAAAAUAGUUCAAGGAUCAUUCGGUCAAGCAUGGUCUUGGCAUGAUGAAUUCAUGUGAUUCUGAGGCCACAAACAUUAUUGGUCUCAUGGUUUAUAGCCUGCUUUUAUUAGUGCCACAAAAUGAAAUUAAACUAGGGGAUGCUUUUCAUAUUUAUGGCCCUAGUGCAGGACCAUGAUCAGGUAGGCCACUGGUUCAUGUCCUGCCAAGUUGAUUCUGUUCAUUUAUGCGCAUGAUCUAAGCUUGGGUUAGGUGGUAUAGGGUGAAAUUUGGCAGUGCUGUGGCAUGUCAAAAUGAAAUUUGUGAUGCUGCAGCUGCAUGCCACAUACCCUUUGCAUUUAUAGUUUGCUUUUUAUUAAAUUGGCGUGCCCAUCACCCUUAUUAUCAUUUAUAAAUUUCUCUGAAAAAUUGAAUACAAGUACAAUUCACAAGGAAUAGUGCAACAGUUGCUUUCUUUUGCAUAAUUCAUUUUUUUCACACUAUGUUCGGACCAAAUGAGAAUGGAAUUUAUUUUAUUUGCAAAUGCAUUUUAAAAAAGAAUGUAUUUGUGAAUGAAUUCUCAUGUUUUGCAUCUAAUUCAUUUUAAAAUUGUAGUCUUAUUAAUUUUUACUUUUGUUUUUCCAGAAUUUAUUUGCAAAUUCUGUUAAUUCUCAUAGAGUUUGGCUCAAGCAAGCAUAACAAAUUCCCUAGAAUUAAAAAUGUAUAAUUCCAAAUGACCUCUAUGCAUUCCAAACAUAUCAUGUGUGGAUUUGUAAAUGAAUUUUUUGGAAUUCAUUUAAACCAAACAAGCUCUUAAGCAGAUAUUAGCUAGCUAUUUUUUCUUUUGUUGCUUCUGAAAGUGAAUAAAUUUUAGGUGCAUGGAAUAUCUGUGCUUUUUUUUGUUCCCAUUCAAAUACAUAGUCUGUUGUUAUUAUUCAUAUGUGUACUUAUAUCUUUCGUCUCAUGCUUUGUAGACCAAGGCUCCACGAUUGCUGCA